Molecule: long non-coding RNA, 3235 nt
Organism: Macrobrachium nipponense
Lineage: Eukaryota; Metazoa; Arthropoda; Malacostraca; Decapoda; Palaemonidae
Exons: 3
Source: RefSeq, a predicted model, not a curated record
CGAAGACUUGAACACGUGACUCAGGGAAUCUGGAAAAGAUCCCAGAUUAGACAAGAUAAAAAAAGGACUUCUUGCACAAGUUACGAUUAUUCAGUUCUCUAACACUGGGGAAAAGGCACUCUAGUGUUUAGCUGAGGUAUGCAAUGACUUCAUUUGUCUGGGACGAUCACACAAGGGGAAGCAUGCGGCCACAAGGCAGUGAGAGGAACAAAGGGAUAUUCAUUGAGUUGGAAGUUUGAAUUGUGAAAAUGGGGAGUAAAUAGACACUAGGAGGCAAGGAACUGGCAAUAUGCUGUUUCACAAGACGUACCUGGAUGCCAUGAUCAGUGGACCUUUGUAGAAAUGUGGCAUUGGCUUUUGUCUCAGGUCUGGGGCUCUGGGCGCGCCAGUAACGCCGUGUUAGGCCUAAGUUGGAAGGCUCGUGGCGGACAUCCGUCCGAGGUCACGACUGGAGUUGACUGAGGGCGAAGGCAGGUGUGUUUCCUGGGUGUUGGGGGUCAGCUUAACCCCCCAAGAGCAAGGCAUCCUGGAAACAAACCAUACAGCCAGCAGAGGGUUCACAGGAAAAAGAGCUUAAGACGUAGGACUAAUAAGUACCAGGCUACCUACAUCCUUCCCUUUGGGAUACGUCCCUAAAGCUGACAAGAGCCUAUAUUCCCCCUCUCUAGCGGGAAAUUCCUAUCUCUGGCUGGGGUGUUUUGGUUUACCGCCUAAAAAUCAGCUGAUAUUUGGGUAAAUGGCUGCUUUUCUAGCAAUCACAAUAUUUAACUAAAUGCUGGGUAGACGAGGAGAUCAAUAAACGUAGCAAUAUAUAUAUAUUGCUACGUCUAUAGAACGCCUCGCCUUCCCAGCAGAGUUUUAGUGAUAUUUAAUUAUAAAAGUAGCAGCCAUGCCUUCUCCUAAGGUAACUGUUGUUGGGAGAGUGGGUAUGUCGUAGGGAAGAUAUUUCCGGUCUGACGGAAGCUUAGGGUAAGAGAGGCAAGUCACAAGAGUAGCUAGGCUUCGAGAUGGAUUUUAGGGACUUCUACAAUAAGACCUAUUUUCCUUCCCAAUUUGCUGGCGUUGUGUUUACCACCUUUCAGGCAAUGCUCGAGGCGGUCUUUGGAAGCCCCGUGAUUCGAAAACAACCAGUAUUGAUCUCAGUCAACUGCAGUCGGUAGUCCAGGACAGAUGUCCAGCCGGCCAGCCUCCCAAAACUUAGGCCUACCCACGGCGUACUGGUGGACACGAACCCCAGACCUGAACAGAGGUCAGGCCGCAUUCUUCUACAAGGAUACACUGAAUAUUGCAUAAAGAUUCCAUGAGUCACGUGCCGUCUCUCUGCCCGCAAGUGUGCAUUACCCCAAGUGUAUGAAAACCAGCUAUAACAGCUCCAGUGGAGCCAUCAUUUACCUUUUCUCCAGCCCAGCACGGGCCUUUUUGUAAAUAAAUAGCUAUCAAGAUCUCGAAGUCCAACACAAGAAAAGAGCAGAGCAGAAGUAGGUCAAAGUCUGCAGAUCACGAUUCUGAAUCUGAUGAUGGGAAGUAAGCCUCAUAUGAAAAGAAAAAAAUAUAGGUUUGCUGCUCGUCUAGAUGUGCUUAUAAUUACAAGAGGAGACUUCAGACAUCACGAUGGUGUUACACAAAGCAUAAUUUUAGAUCCAGAAAUUGCUUUCCUCAGCUGCAUUGAUAGUUAAUUAUAACCCCUUAAUUAUAGUAAUUAACAAUGGUUAGAAGACUUGGCCAGUGAUAGAAGUCCCUUACUAAUAUGAUCUUGGACUUGCUUCUGCUUUGUAUAAUAUCAUGACCAACACAUGAUUGGAUAUUUAAUCAUUUUCCUCCACCAGUGAUCAUCCUACUGAUGUUGCUAUUAACCAGUGUUUAUGUGAUAAACUCUUCAAUUAUUACUUGAUGUGGAAACCUGUAGUUGUACAGUGCUAGAGUAUUUAGGGUAUACAAGGCUGAGAAUGAAUGAGAACUUAGUAAAUGGCAAUAGAUGAAAUAUGGUCUAUGAAAAUGAAUAAGUGACAGAUAGUGCUCAUAAUAAUAGGAGUGUUGAGCUAAUGAUGUUUAUCCAAUGACAUGCGUAGAGAACACACAGUUGACUGUUUCUACCUCUUUCAUUAGGUAUUUGAAGUUCACUGGUAAUUUAUAGUAUAUAUGAUGGCAUUAUUUUGACAGUACUUCAUGUGGUAUUUUUUUAUUUUAAAGUACUGGAAGCAGAGUUUUAUACUUGGAAAGUGUAGGAAACACAGUUAAUUCACAUGUAAAGAGCCUUCACAGGAUUCUUGAGGGAUUAAGCCUUUGAAGUUGCCAUGAAUCCAGCUACAGUACUAGUUUACACAAAGAAAGGUUGUUAAAUUACCCACUUUGUACCAAAUCUCAAUAUUUUCGGUUUCUUGAGUUUAGUAGUAAACGGUUUAGGUCAAAAUGUUGCUUUGAAGACCCUUAUUACAUCACCUUGCUUGCUUCUUAGAUUAUGUAAAUUGUGUAGUUAUAGUUUUCAUAGUUUGUUUUCUCAUAAGGGAGCGUUUCUUGGUGAAUUGGCUUUAUUUUUGGCGAGACAUUUGGUGCUUAGUGUUAAAACAAAAACUUUUUGUUCUAAGUGCAAUCUUAGUUACCCCCUACUGCCAACAGUAGUAAUCAUUACCAUAACUCUAACAUUUUUAGCAAAGAAUAGUACUGAAUGCAAGUUUUCUUUGUUUGUGCUUUAGGCAGGGUUUUUCAUCCGCAACUGCAUCCUAAACUCAUGUAUAUAUAAGAAUGUAUCUAAAGUGUAAAAAUUUUUAAUGCAGGGAAUACAAUGUAAAAUAUUUUGGUGCAGGGAAUACUGUACAAUGUACAGAAUUUGUAUCCCAACUGAAUUUUGAGUUCAGAGUCACUGCUAGUUUUUUGUUUUUAACAGUUUGGUAUUAGAUGACAUUUCAGCAGCUGGUUUGAAUAGUUAGUUUUUUCUACAGUAAUUAUGGGAAAAAUUAAGGUUGUAUGUUUGGUUUAUCAUGUUGGUCAACAUAGGUUUUAUUUUGCCUUUUGUGCUAUAAGCAGUGUUCUAUAUACCUAAUGAGAUACAAAUUUGUGUGAAGCAGAUAUGUAUGGAAGUUUUCUCAUGUGUUUGAAUUUAUAGAAAUAUACAUACUCUUAUCUGUUUUUGAUGAAUGUUGAACUGUAUAUAAUUAGGUGUUUGUGUGUAAAUGUUAGAUGAUAUGAUGUUGUUAAACUACAAUAAAGUUUUGUACAUACUUACCUGGCAGAUAUA